Molecule: long non-coding RNA, 1474 nt
Organism: Homo sapiens (human)
Lineage: Eukaryota; Metazoa; Chordata; Mammalia; Primates; Hominidae
Source: Ensembl
CCGGGCGUCGAUGAAUGUGGGGUACCAUUCCUUGAUGAUGUGGUCAUGUUUGUAGUCGGCCUUAUUGUCCUUUAGAUGUUCCACGGUGUUCCGCUCGCUCUUCUCAUAGGCCUCCCGGGGCUUCCGGACAGACACCUUGCAUUCUCGGACCUUGUUGACGAUGAAUUCUUGGAUGAGAAACCUGAUAUCUUCCAUGAGGCAGUCAUCAUAAAGAAGUCUGAAUAUCUUGGUUGAGAGCUAGACUUUGGAAACAGAGAGACCCUGUAUAAUAACAGACUAAGAAGUAAGGAAGACAAGCCCAGCCAGUCCCACAACUAUUUCAUUAAUACCAGGUAAAGCAACAGACCUGCCAGUGAAGCAUCUUGGAUCCUUUAGCUUUAGAAAAUCAGCUCUGUUACAUCUGCCGCCUCCUGUGAGCACAAGGCACAGAAAGUAGACCCUGUAACCCUCAGAGGGCCUGAAGGAAAGCGAUGCUGGUGUGACCUGCCCAAGAGGAUGGUGCCCAAGGCAGAGCAUUCUAGACCCUCAUAGGCAACAGAGCCAGAAUCUAUUGAAAUAUUAUUUUUUUCCGUGCAUCCACAUUUGUAAGAACACUGAUGGAUAUGAUGGUUUCUGUUUCAUCAAUAUUAAUUUAAAGCUGCUGAAUAUCCUUGGAGAGCUAAUCAAGAAGGUAGAAGUUUUUCCACAUUAAUGUUGUCAAGUGACAGUAGAUUUAAGAGGUAUUGCUAGCUUGUGUCAACUGAUUCUGAUGGUCAAAUAUUUUUAUAAAUACCUUCAGGAGAAUUUCAUAGUGAUCUUAAAAACUACAAAGAAAAAGAGUUCCCACGGAUUUAUAAGAAGGUUCGACUAUGCUUUUCCCGGAUAAAACGUGUCUCUUUCCCUUUCAUUGCCAUCUGCUGGAUGACAAUCCUUUAUUCUGAUACAGUCAUCUUUACAAAUGACUAACCAAAGGUCUGUUUUGAAAGAUCAGCAGAAAUAGGAAUGGAAGUGAGGAUACAGAGAAUGCACAAACGGGAACCAUGUGAGGACAGUGAGAAGGUGGCCAUCUACAAGACGAGAUGAGAGGCCUCAGAAGAAAGAAACCAAAUCUACAGACACCUUGAUCUUCAACUUCUGGCAUCCAAAACUGUCUGAGAAGGAUGCCAGACACCUGACAGGCACUCAAGCAUUUGAUGAAUGAACAAAAUGUUGUUGUGACCUAUUCCAAUCCUGAGCAUGUGUUUGCACAGUCAUUCUAGAUUCAUUUAGGGGUACUGGUUCCAGAACUAGAAUCCAAAGUGAAUUAUGAGUAUAACAUCAGGGUUUUGUUUCUCUGUCUCUCUCUCUCUGUUUCUCUCUUUUUCUUUGUCUAUUCUGAGGUAGUUGAUUGGUCUGCGAAGGGUAAAAUAUGGCAAAAAUGAUUUCCAUUUGGUGUUUGUAAGUUAUUUCAAAGACAUAGCAGCUUGAGAAUAAAAAUUCUUUUUUUCUUUCUCAA